Long non-coding RNA from Microcebus murinus (gray mouse lemur), 367 nucleotides. RefSeq lists it as uncharacterized. NCBI's taxonomy places the organism in Eukaryota, Metazoa, Chordata, Mammalia, Primates, Cheirogaleidae. The record is from RefSeq and is a predicted model, not a curated record.
CUGCACACAGUAGGCGCCAUCUAAGUGACCAGCACCGGAGACAACACGGUCUUCUGACUCCGCUCUCCAGGGAUCCUCAGAGGUUCAAUUGCACCAUGCGGUUUCUCUCCGUCUUUCUUGCUCUUCUUGUGGCACUCUCCCAGGCCACAUGGGUGGAUGAACCACAGUAUCAGAUAGACUGCUCCCAAUUCAAAGGUGUCUGCAGGAAGCCAAAGGGCCUGCAAUGCGUGUUCCUGCCUGCAAGAUGCAAAAAUGCCAAGAAAGUUUGCUGCCUGAAGAUAACAUAGAGUAUUAGUCCCCACCCACAAGAUUCGGUGGAGACAGACAACUCAGUGACCCAGCGUGGAAUAAACCUACGCACCCCUGG